ACCAUCUUAACUCAUUGGUAGAGCGCGUGGCUUUUAACCACGUGGUCAUGGGUUCGAUCGCCACAGAUGGUG
Molecule: transfer RNA, 72 nt
Organism: Ipomoea nil (Japanese morning glory)
Lineage: Eukaryota; Viridiplantae; Streptophyta; Magnoliopsida; Solanales; Convolvulaceae
Rfam family: tRNA
About the family: Transfer RNA (tRNA) molecules are approximately 80 nucleotides in length.
Source: Rfam